This 270-nucleotide ribosomal RNA is filed under the name uncultured archaeon. RNAcentral's name for it is "partial 16S ribosomal RNA". It matches the Rfam family "Archaeal small subunit ribosomal RNA", at positions 477 to 747 of the family's 1478-position model. The record is from RNAcentral.
CAGCACCUCAAGUGGUCAGGAUGAUUAUUGGGCCUAAAGCAUCCGUAGCCGGCUUUGUUAGUUUUCGGUUAAAUCUGUACGCUUAACGUACAGGCUGCCGGGAAUACUGCAGAGCUAGGGAGUGGGAGAGGUAGACGGUACUCGGUAGGAAGGGGUAAAAUCCUUUGAUCUAUUGAUGACCACCUGUGGCGAAGGCGGUCUACCAGAACACGUCCGACGGUGAGGGAUGAAAGCUGGGGGAGCAAACCGGAUUAGAUACCCGCGUAGUCC